RNAcentral lists this ribosomal RNA (639 nucleotides) under uncultured Thelephoraceae. RNAcentral's name for it is "eukaryotic LSU rRNA". The stretch from base 270 to 423 matches the Rfam family "5.8S ribosomal RNA". The record is from RNAcentral. Lineage: Eukaryota; Fungi; Basidiomycota; Agaricomycetes; Thelephorales; Thelephoraceae.
CCGUAAUAUCCGUAGGUGAACCUGCGGANNAUCAUUAAUGAAAUGUGAACAUCGUGAAGGGUUGUUGCUGGCNUCCUUUAGAGGUAUGUGCACGCCUGGAUCGUUCAUCCUCCCUUUCUUACACCUGUGCACAACCUGUAGCUUGGGAUGAUCACGGAGUGUGCUGCUUUUGUAGUCACCUCGAAUGCCCUCGCUAUGAACGCUUUUAUAUACACCUUUAUAAAGUCUUGUAGAAUGUUGAUAAGCGUGUAACAGCGCGAAAAUAAUACAACUUUCAGCAACGGAUCUCUUGGCUCUCGCAUCGAUGAAGAACGCAGCGAAAUGCGAUAAGUAAUGUGAAUUGCAGAAUUCAGUGAAUCAUCGAAUCUUUGAACGCACCUUGCGCUCCUUGGUAUUCCGAGGAGCAUGCCUGUUUGAGUGUCAUGAAGUUCUCAACUGCUUUGACUUUAUUGUUGAAGUGAAGUUGGAUUUGGAGGAUCUUUGCUGGCGCGAGCUUGUGUGCAGAUUGCAUGCUUGCUUGCUUGUCGGCUCCUCUUAAAAUUAUGAAACCUUUCCAGUAGAUCUUGGCGAAAAGAGUAUCUUCGACGUGAUAACUAUCUGCGUCGUUGAGAAAGCUUAAGAGCANNGCCUUUCAAAGGC